Molecule: ribosomal RNA, 253 nt
Filed under: uncultured Lachnospiraceae bacterium
Lineage: Bacteria; Bacillati; Bacillota; Clostridia; Lachnospirales; Lachnospiraceae
Description: partial 16S ribosomal RNA
Rfam family: Bacterial small subunit ribosomal RNA
Source: RNAcentral
UACGUAGGGGGCAAGCGUUAUCCGGAUUUACUGGGUGUAAAGGGAGCGUAGACGGCUGCGCAAGUCUGAAGUGAAAGCCCGGGGCUCAACCCCGGGACUGCUUUGGAAACUGUGUAGCUAGAGUGCUGGAGAGGCAAGCGGAAUUCCUAGUGUAGCGGUGAAAUGCGUAGAUAUCACGAAGAACCCCGAUUGCGAAGGCAGCCUGCCGCAGCGUUACUGACGCUGAAGCUCGAAAGCGCGGGUAUCGAACAGG